This is a long non-coding RNA of Suricata suricatta (meerkat), 275 nucleotides long. RefSeq lists it as uncharacterized. NCBI's taxonomy places the organism in Eukaryota, Metazoa, Chordata, Mammalia, Carnivora, Herpestidae. The record is from RefSeq and is a predicted model, not a curated record. The transcript has 2 exons.
GGCUUUAUCUACCUAAGCCUCGUUGGAUCAGUGGCUACUCAAGGCAGAUGUGCCUCCCAGCAAAAGGCAGGAAUGCAAAAACAAUUGUUACUAUCCAGGCCCUAAUGUGAGGAUUACAGAUGAAAAUUUUACUUUCACAUAAGUACUGAAGACAAGAAUGAAAGCAAACAUUGAGAACCGUUUUCAAAAUAUUUCAUUUUUAGUUGGAUCAAUAGGUGAAAUUUUAUCAGCUAUGAUGCUAAAAAUAAAGUAUUUCCAAAUCCUGGAAAAUUAAA